This is a long non-coding RNA of Hylaeus anthracinus, 363 nucleotides long. RefSeq lists it as uncharacterized. The transcript is spliced from 3 exons. NCBI's taxonomy places the organism in Eukaryota, Metazoa, Arthropoda, Insecta, Hymenoptera, Colletidae. The record is from RefSeq and is a predicted model, not a curated record.
CCUCGGUUGGCGACUAGGCGUCGUGAAAUAAGUCGGAGGGACCGUCGAGGUCUUUAUUCGCUCGAACUCGUCCGGGUAGAUCAGUUGGGCGGAACCGCAGGCCAACAGGCCGAUGAACAUCAGCGUGAACGCCAUUUCUAGAGGCGAGAAUUCCUGGUCGAUAACGGUUGCGUCGAUUGUCAGGGGACAUCGGUUGAUAGCGGAGAACUACGCCGGAUUGUUGCUUCUCCUGUCGCGUGUGUCGCGUACCGACUCGUCCUUUCGAAGGAUCUUCGACCACGGUGUCCUUCCUCCGAUUUCCCUCGAAUAACACCGAAUCGAUUCUGGAUCGGGCCUCCGAUGGACCGUUACGCGUAGGUCGCG